RNAcentral lists this ribosomal RNA (422 nucleotides) under uncultured bacterium. Its description in RNAcentral is "partial 16S ribosomal RNA". It matches the Rfam family "Bacterial small subunit ribosomal RNA", at positions 360 to 773 of the family's 1533-position model. The record is from RNAcentral.
AAUAUUGGGCAAUGGGCGGAAGCCUGACCCAGCCACGCAGCGUGAGUGAUGAAGGCCUNAGGGUUNUNAAGCUCUUUGGGGAGGGNCGAAAAAUCCGGGAUCGAACAGGGCCCGGACUCGCCGGUACCUCCUUAGCAAGCACCGCCAAACCCUUUUCCAGGAGCCGCGGUAAGACAGAGGGUGCAAACGUUGCUCGGAAUUACUGGGCGUAAAGGGCGCGUAGGCGGAUUUGGAAGUAAGGUGUGAAAUCCCUGGGCUCAACCGAGGAACUGCAUUCGAAACUCCAAGUCUAGAGUGACGGAGAGGAAAGCGGAAUUACCGGUGUAGAGGUGAAAUUCGUAGAUAUCGGGAGGAACACCAGAGGCGAAGGCGGCUUUCUGGACGUCUACUGACGCUGAGGCGCGAAAGCGUGGGGAGCAAAC